ACCCAAUUUAUUUAAUCUGUUUAUCGUUUAAUCUGUUUAUUAGAUGAAUAACCUAUUUAACCGAUCCGACCCGAUCCGUUUAACCUAUUUAUUAUUGUAUGCUAUGAUUUUCAUUGAAAAAAAUAAAGAUUAAGAUGAAUUCAAUUUUCUAAGAAUAAUCGAGGUGAACUAAAUGAUAUGACAAACAGCUACCACAACUAGUGUGUGAU
Molecule: long non-coding RNA, 209 nt
Filed under: Elaeis guineensis (African oil palm)
Lineage: Eukaryota; Viridiplantae; Streptophyta; Magnoliopsida; Arecales; Arecaceae
Description: long non-coding RNA (EGUI_LNC022119)
Source: RNAcentral